AAUAGAUACCCGGGUAGUCCACGCCGUAAACGUUGGGUACUAGGUGUGGGGUCUUAUCAACGGAUUCCGUGCCGAAGCUAACGCAUUAAGUACCCCGCCUGGGGAGUACGGCCGCAAGGCUAAAACUACAAAGGAAUUAGACGGGGGCCCGGCACAAGCAGCGGAGCAUGUUGUCUUAAUUUACGAGGCAACGCGAAGAACCUUACCUUGGUUUGUACAUGUAGGGAAAAGACCGUAGAGAUACGGUGUUCCUUUUCGGGUCCCGUACCACAGGUGGUGCAUGGCUGUCGUCAGCUCGUGUCGUGAGAUGUUGGUUACGUCCGCAACGAGCGCACCUUCGUCCUAUGUUGUCACGCACGUAAUAGGUGGGUACGUCGUAGGAGACUGCCGGGGUACGAAC
RNAcentral lists this ribosomal RNA (400 nucleotides) under uncultured bacterium. RNAcentral describes it as "bacterial SSU rRNA". It matches the Rfam family "Bacterial small subunit ribosomal RNA", at positions 777 to 1162 of the family's 1533-position model. The record is from RNAcentral.